CCCAGGGUAGCCUAGUGGACAUGGCAUCUGCCCGGUAAGCGUAACACUGUGGGUUCGAUUCCCAUCCCUGGACA
Non-coding RNA from Cordylochernes scorpioides, 74 nucleotides. Lineage: Eukaryota; Metazoa; Arthropoda; Arachnida; Pseudoscorpiones; Chernetidae. The record is from the annotation of a GenBank genome assembly.